Oxyura jamaicensis (ruddy duck) is the source of this 171-nucleotide long non-coding RNA. RefSeq lists it as uncharacterized. NCBI's taxonomy places the organism in Eukaryota, Metazoa, Chordata, Aves, Anseriformes, Anatidae. The record is from RefSeq and is a predicted model, not a curated record. The transcript is spliced from 3 exons.
CAAAUCAUGCGUCUGAGCGUUGUCCAAAUGCUUCUGGAACUCUGUCAGGCUCGGUGCCGUGACCACUGCCCUUGGGAGCCUGUCCCAAUGACUGACCACCCUCUGGGUGAAGAACGUUUUCCUCACACCCAGCCUGAUUCUUCCCUGUCCCUGCCCCAUGCUGUUCCCUCA